This 1402-nucleotide long non-coding RNA is filed under the name Scleropages formosus (Asian bonytongue). Its description in RNAcentral is "lncRNA (ENSSFOG00015025956.1)". The record is from RNAcentral. Lineage: Eukaryota; Metazoa; Chordata; Actinopteri; Osteoglossiformes; Osteoglossidae.
UCCUUUUUUUACCGCAGUUCUGAGCUAAGUGCAAAACUAGGCAUAGAGGACGAAAUAAAAGACGUGGGUUUUUAUCGCAGCCUUAUGCAUGCAGCAAAAAUAAUCAGUGCCAGAGCGUUUCAUACUUUUCUUUAAGUAUAAAUUAAGUAUUUUAAAUCUUUAUGAGCUGCGAAUUGCUGAGCACAAAAUCUUAAUGUAUUUACGUAACUGCCAAAUAGUAUUUUUCUAAAUAUGGUUUUGUUUUGGCUCGCUUGGUCCAUCAUCGUCGUUCUAAACGCUCGUGUUUCCAAAGGGCUGUCAAUCCCCUUCCCGGUCACUUUCGGAAGCCCUGGGGACAAUGUGACCAUCUACAGUAAUUUCAGAGCGAUUUACAGGUCUUUCUUGAGUGUUAGCUGGUACCGUGUGAAGCCGGAUGGAGGGAUGGAGCACAAAAUGUACUUCAGCUCUUAUAGCUCCCAGUACGGCCGGUACAGAGGAACACUGCCCCAGAACUCCCCCAAUGUCAGUCUGACAAUCUACAAUGUGACAGCAGAAGAUUCUGGCCAAUACUUCCCAGUGGUGCUCAACAGCAUGAGAUUCUCACCUGGGACCAUGGCAGUUCUGUCCAUAACAGAUCGCAAGGAAAAACCAACUCUCCGUGUGUUUGUGAGUCAAAAGUCAGACAACAGGACAGAUAUUCUCUGCGAACUGAGAGGACAAGGGCCGGACCGGACAGGCCCCGAGUGGGAAACAGAGGGCAUUUCUGGAGCAGAAAUCAAAACGGGAGAAGCCAUAGAUUACAGUGGUGUAUUUACCAGAAUAUCCAUCCUCUCUGUUUCCUCGAAUAGCGGGCCUCUUACUGUAACAUGUGUAAAUCAAAAAAACACGCCCACGAUCAGAAGAAGUAUAAUAAUCCGGCAGAAAGAUGAUGUCUUUUCCUGGCUGCUGUACCUGUUUCCUCUGUGUUCAGUGCUGAUUCUAGCAACCAUAAUUAGUGCGGUGCAGGUCUGCUGGAGAAAUUGAGCACACACAUUAUUGAUUCCUCAUGAGAUGCUGCAACUGAAGGAAACGUAGACAUGAACUUGAUCUCUUCUGAAGCAUUUAUGUCUCAGUUUUCUGUUUUUAAGAACCAUUUUAUGUUCUGUAAUGAAUGAUUGUCAUAUAAAGAUAUUCAGUGAGUUUUAAGUUCUCUGGCUCUGGAUCUCAAGGAGCUGCAGAACACGGUGUUGUAGCUGGAGAUGCUGGUACACGAAGCAGCUACUAAAAAUUUGUAUUGAAAAUUAAAUCAGUUGUGAAUGUAUUUUAGUAGAACUGUACUUCAUAUAAAGAAUAAUCUGAUUAAUCAUAUUUAGUGUUUUGUCGGUUUUUAAGAUUUGUACUUAUUUAAUUAAUUGAUUUUUGCUUUAAAUUAUAAGCCACACCA